Molecule: ribosomal RNA, 497 nt
Filed under: uncultured bacterium
Lineage: Bacteria
Description: partial 16S ribosomal RNA
Rfam family: Bacterial small subunit ribosomal RNA
Source: RNAcentral
GAUGAACGCUGGCGGCGUGCCUAAUACAUGCAAGUCGAGCGAACGGACGAGAAGCUUGCUUUUCUGAUGUUAGCGGCGGACGGGUGAGUAACACGUGGAUAACCUACCUAUAAGACUGGGAUAACUUCGGGAAACCGGAGCUAAUACCGGAUAAUAUUUUGAACCGCAUGGUUCAAAAGUGAAAGACGGUCUUGCUGUCACUUAUAGAUGGAUCCGCGCUGCAUUAGCUAGUUGGUAAGGUAACGGCUUACCAAGGCAACGAUGCAUAGCCGACCUGAGAGGGUGAUCGGCCACACUGGAACUGAGACACGGUCCAGACUCCUACGGGAGGCAGCAGUAGGGAAUCUUCCGGAAUGGGCGAAAGCCUGACGGAGCAACGCCGCGUGAGUGAUGAAGGUCUUCGGAUCGUAAAACUCUGUUAUUAGGGAAGAACAUAUGUGUAAGUAACUGUGCACAUCUUGACGGUACCUAAUCAGAAAGCCACGGCUAACCACGUG